GACGAACGCUGGCGGCGUGCUUAACACAUGCAAGUCGAACGGAAAGGCCUCUUUCGGGGGGUACUCGAGUGGCGAACGGGUGAGUAACACGUGAGUAACCUGCCCUUGACUUUGGGAUAACUUCAGGAAACUGGGGCUAAUACCGGAUAGGAGCUCCUGCUGCAUGGUGGGGGUUGGAAAGUUUCGGCGGUUGGGGAUGGACUCGCGGCUUAUCAGCUUGUUGGUGGGGUAGUGGCUUACCAAGGCUUUGACGGGUAGCCGGCCUGAGAGGGUGACCGGCCACAUUGGGACUGAGAUACGGCCCAGACUCCUACGGGAGGCAGCAGGGGGGAAUAUUGCACAAUGGGUGGAAGCCUGAUGCAGCAACGCCGUGUGCGGGAUGACGGCCUUCGGGUUGUAAACCGCGUUCGACCAUGACGAAGCUUUGUGUGACGGUAGUGGGUAAAGAAGCACCGGCUAACUACGUG
Molecule: ribosomal RNA, 467 nt
Filed under: uncultured bacterium
Lineage: Bacteria
Description: partial 16S ribosomal RNA
Rfam family: Bacterial small subunit ribosomal RNA
Source: RNAcentral